Molecule: ribosomal RNA, 256 nt
Filed under: uncultured bacterium
Lineage: Bacteria
Description: partial 16S ribosomal RNA
Rfam family: Bacterial small subunit ribosomal RNA
Source: RNAcentral
UACGGAGGGUGCGAGCGUUGUCCGGAAUCACUGGGCGUAAAGGGCGCGUAGGUGGUGGCUUAAGCGUGCGGUGAAAGCUCGGGGCUCAACCCCGAGUCGGCCGUGCGAACUGGGCUCACUGGAGCAUAGUAGAGGCAGGUGGAAUUCCGGGUGUAGCGGUGGAAUGCGUAGAGAUCCGGAAGAACACCGGUGGCGAAGGCGGCCUGCUGGGCUAUGGCUGACACUGAGGCGCGGACAGCGUGGGGAGCAAACAGGG